GAUGAACGCUGGCGGCGUGCUUAACACAUGCAAGUCGAACGGUGAACGAGGGAGCUUGCUCCCUCCGGAUCAGUGGCGAACGGGUGAGUAACACGUGAGCAAUCUGCCCUGGACUCUGGGAUAAGCGUUGGAAACGACGUCUAAUACCGGAUACGAGACGCGAAGGCAUCUGCAGCGUCUGGAAAGAACUUCGGUCCAGGAUCAGCUCGCGGCCUAUCAGGUAUUUGGUGGGGUAAUGGCUCACCAAGCCUACGACGGGUAGCCGGCCUGAGAGGGUGACCGGCCACACUGGGACUGAGACACGGCCCAGACUCCUACGGGAGGCAGCAGUGGGGAAUAUUGCACAAUGGGCGCAAGCCUGAUGCAGCAACGCCGCGUGAGGGACGACGGCCUUCGGGUUGUAAACCUCUUUUAGCAGGGAAGAAGCGAAAGUGACGGUACCUGCAGAAAAAGCACCGGCUAACUACGUGCCAGCAGCCGCCGUAA
RNAcentral lists this ribosomal RNA (486 nucleotides) under uncultured bacterium. Its description in RNAcentral is "partial 16S ribosomal RNA". It matches the Rfam family "Bacterial small subunit ribosomal RNA", at positions 28 to 523 of the family's 1533-position model. The record is from RNAcentral.